GUUAAUGAAAAACUUGAGGAAUGUUUAUUCAGGGGGGACGACAUGUCCCUUAUAAAGCAAAAUGACAUCAUAAGCAUUGUCAGAGAUAACAUGAAAUAAUACAUCAAUAAUUAAUUAAUUUAAUGCUCUGCCUACUGAGGGUGAUGUCACCGGCAUCUUGGAGGUCUCCCCCAGAUUCCAGCGCCAUCUUGUUAAUGAGGGUGUUAGUCGAUGUUAAAGGGGAAACUCCCUAGCGGCCAUUUUGGGUAAAUCACAUAGAAAGUUGAAUAAUGCUGAUUGUAGUUGUUUUGAGUAAAUAGGCAUUUUACUGAUAUAAAUUGGGUUAAUAUUUUUGUCCACAACAGUCCCCCCUUAAAAUGACUAUUUACGAAAAGAAUGAAGGAAAAGGCAGCCAACUACUAGCUAGCUAACCCUAAUAAUGUCCCUAAUUUGGCUGCAGCUCAUCUGUCUUAACAGGCCUUGAACACUUCACUGCGCAGGUAUCCCGCAGCGGCUAACCCACUACAUCUCCUGCGUCAGACUCUUGCCCGUAGAGACAGACGCUAUCCCUAUACUGUCCCUAUGAAGUGGUAGUAGUUGUUGUCUGUUUGAAAUGGUGGGACUGAAGUGGUGUGUGUGGAGUGUCACAGUCUAUAUCAUCAGCAUCUUGGUGUAGGUAUAUGAGUGUAGUGUGGUCAAUGGUCUGGUCUACGGUCUUUUGUAAGUAUCUCUGCACACAAAGUACCACACAACAGGUUAGGAAGAGGAAGAAGAUCAUUACAGUAAGAACUGCCAUCCCUAUUUGGAAAAGAGUCCUUUGCCAUCCACUCAUCCAUCCAAACAAUUUAUCCCAAGAGUUAGGAACCCCUGAAUUUUUCUUUAAUUCAUCAGAGAGAUUUUCUAAUUUCUCUAUGGCCAUGGUUACCUUACCAUUAGGACCAGUAUUGUCUGGGAUAAAAGUACAACAUGUCAUCGUCUCAGGGAGUAUUUUACAUACGCCCCCCUUUUCAGCUAAAAUCAUGUCUAAGGCUAUUCUAUUUUGAAAUGUCAUGUGAGAGGUAACCUGUAACUGUUCGGCUAAGCCCUGUAGGGCAUCUCGAGUGUAGUUGACGAAUCGUUGUUGAUUGUAGUAGAUGUAAUUUAUCCAGUUAACAUUUUUAUUAGCAGUGAUGAGGGGGGUCAAGGAUUUGAAUCCUGCUGCCACUUCAUCUCUGGUUUUGAAUUCAUUUGGUACCCCCUAGGUACUCCAGUGGCAUCUAUAUAUACAUGUGGGUCAAAACUACCUUGGAUAGGACUUUCUCUUUUUUCUCUAAGAUGUGUAUGUGAUGAAUCGUAUGGACCUUGGUGGUUGUCAGGGAAGAUGUGUAUGGGCAUAAUAACUUUAGUUAGAGUACAUUCUCCCCACCAUAAGCCAGUCAUUUUUUACCUUAGUUGCAUGUCAC
Non-coding RNA from Pelobates cultripes (western spadefoot toad), 1421 nucleotides. The record is from the annotation of a GenBank genome assembly. NCBI's taxonomy places the organism in Eukaryota, Metazoa, Chordata, Amphibia, Anura, Pelobatidae.